UGGUUCCAGCAUCGAUGAAGAACGCAGCGAAAUGCGAUAAGUAAUGUGAAUUGCAGAAUUCAGUGAAUCAUCGAAUCUUUGAACGCACAUUGCGCUCCCUGGUAUUCCGGGGAGCAUGCCUGUUCGAGCGUCAUUGCACCCCUCACGCCUGGCGUGGUGUUGGACUCGCCGCGACGGCCGGUCUCGAAAGCAGUGGCGGCUCUGUAGGAUCCCUAAGCGCAGUACUUCACGUCGCUUGUGGCCUCCUGCAGCGCCUGCCAGCAACCCCCACCACACAUGGUUGACCUCGGAUCAGGUAGGGAUACCCACUGA
Molecule: unclassified non-coding RNA, 312 nt
Filed under: uncultured fungus
Lineage: Eukaryota; Fungi
Description: partial contains 5.8S ribosomal RNA and internal transcribed spacer 2
Rfam family: 5.8S ribosomal RNA (bases 1-133)
Source: RNAcentral